UACGUAGGGGGCUAGCGUUGUCCGGAUUUAUUGGGCGUAAAGAGCGUGUAGGCGGCCUGGUAGGUCUGCUGUGAAAACUCGAGGCUCAACCUCGAGCUGUCGGCGGAAACCACUUGGCUAGAGUCCGGAAGAGGAGAGUGGAAUUCCUGGUGUAGUGGUGAAAUGCGCAGAUAUCAGGAAGAACACCUAUGGCGAAGGCAGCUCUCUGGGACGGUACUGACGCUGAGACGCGAAAGCGUGGGGAGCGAACAGG
This 253-nucleotide ribosomal RNA is filed under the name uncultured bacterium. RNAcentral's name for it is "partial 16S ribosomal RNA". It matches the Rfam family "Bacterial small subunit ribosomal RNA", at positions 524 to 776 of the family's 1533-position model. The record is from RNAcentral.